Long non-coding RNA from Ornithorhynchus anatinus (platypus), 1496 nucleotides. RefSeq lists it as uncharacterized. The transcript has 2 exons. The record is from RefSeq and is a predicted model, not a curated record. NCBI's taxonomy places the organism in Eukaryota, Metazoa, Chordata, Mammalia, Monotremata, Ornithorhynchidae.
CCAAGCCCGGGCUCUUUCCACUGGGCCAGGCUGCUACUCGGAUGAGCUUGCAGUCUAGAGGAUGGGCUAUUCUUGUACAAUUGGACAGUGUGUUGCUGGCUCGCUGGGUACCCUUACAAAAACAUCCUUCUACUCUGUAAGCUCAUCCCCCAAACCGUAAGCUCGUUGCGGGCAGGGAGUGGAUCCGUUUUCUUGUUAUGUUGUACUCUCCCAAGCACUGAGUGCUCCGCACACAGUAAGUGCUCAAUAAACACAAUCGCUUGAUCCAACAAAUAUCUUCCAAAGACGUACAUGCUCCUGGGUAAUGAGAAACGUCUUUCUCCAGGAACUUUACAAAGCAGCUCGUGACUUGUCGCAGACACAUAGGACCACAUAAUUAUCUACAAUUUACAGUGGACCCCACGGAUGCAGAUGGGCCAUCAGCCUUUUUGAAAUGGAAUAGCGUUCCACCGAUCGAAAUCGAUAGAGCAAUUUACUGGGACUCUGGCACGGGUCUAAUUAGAACCCAUAUUUUCUCAGGGUCAUCUAAUGCAGUACCUAUAAUUUGAAUAUAGUUUAUGUUUAUUGUGCAUUCAUCCCUCACUAAUAAUAAGCAAUGAGAAUUUCUCCUUACCAUGGUUCACAUUCAUACGGGAAAAGUUUCAUCACUUAAGAAUCGUGUAUAAUUAAAUCUUCUAUUCAUCCUCACCAUCUUUUUCACAUCCCUGAGCCCCAGCGGAUUCUGAAGCCACCGAUGCCCCGCAACGGAACAGAGGAAACCUCGUUCGGAUGGCAGGUCGUAAUGUCUCCGCAUGACCCUGAACACAGACUAAACAGAUCAAGUCACGUCUACCGCUCUACCUUCAGCUGGUAUUCUUCGUAGCACGGCCGGCCACUGGGUGAUAUUCCCCCAUCGCAGUUCAUCGGUCCAUGAAAGUUAUUGAACGCUCACCGUGCGCAGAGCAUCGUACUAAGCGCUUGGGAGAGUACAAUGUACGAGAUGAAUGACAAGUGCCCUGCCUUCAACGAGCUUACGGUCUAGAAGGAAAGAAGAGUCUAGACCUCUAGGGAUUUAAGGCACAGCAGCACACGGGGCUCUUUCCACCAGAGGACGAGUGAAAUUGAAACAGCCGUAGCACAAAGCCUCUACCCACGCAGGUCCUCUUAACCCCCAGACCCGUUGGAUUCCGAACCUUUAGCUGACUUUUAUGCUGUUUUAUAUUUAGAUUAUUUCAUCCUUCCUACAGUCUGUCAACAAAUCCUUAUCCACUUUAUUUUUAGAUUGGAAGGACCUCUCCCUGUGCAUUUACCCCCCAGAACUUAGCACGUUGUUCUUCAACCAGUAAGAUCUUAAUAAACACUUUAACUACAACUCAUUUGAUUCUCCAGAACUAGGCCUCUGCCUGCCCAUCAGACUCUGAAAGCCUGCUGGAAUCUCCAUCCCAGGACAGAUCAUGGAAAGACUAUUUUAUGUGUGUUCUUUGCUGUUGUUUGGGAAAAUAAGUUUCUUUCACGUA